Molecule: ribosomal RNA, 446 nt
Filed under: uncultured bacterium
Lineage: Bacteria
Description: partial 16S ribosomal RNA
Rfam family: Bacterial small subunit ribosomal RNA
Source: RNAcentral
AACGAACGCUGGCGGCAGGCUUAACACAUGCAAGUCGAACGCCCCGCAAGGGGAGUGGCAGACGGGUGAGUAACGCGUGGGAACAUACCUCUCGGUACGGAAUAGCUCAGGGAAACUUGAAUUAAUACCGUAUACGCCGUAUUGGGAAAGAUUUAUCGCCGAGAGAUUGGCCCGCGUUAGAUUAGCUAGUUGGUGGGGUAAUGGCCUACCAAGGCUACGAUCUAUAGCUGAUCUGAGAGGAUGAUCAGCCACACUGGGACUGAGACACGGCCCAGACUCCUACGGGAGGCAGCAGUGGGGAAUCUUGGACAAUGGGCGCAAGCCUGAUCCAGCCAUGCCGCGUGAAUGACGAAGGCCUUAGGGUUGUAAAGUUCUUUCACCGGGGAAGAUAAUGACGGUACCCGGAGAAGAAGCCCCGGCUAACUUCGUGCCAGCAGCCGCCGCGG